CAGUCGCCGCGGGAAUACGUAGGUGGCAAGCGUUAUCCGGAAUUAUUGGGCGUAAAGCGCGCGUAGGCGGGUUUUUAAGUCUGAUGUGAAAGCCCACGGCUCAACCGUGGAGGGUCAUUGGAAACUGGAAAACUUGAGUGCAGAAGAGGAAAGUGGAAUUCCAUGUGUAGCGGUGAAAUGCGCAGAGAUAUGGAGGAACACCAGUGGCGAAGGCGACUUUCUGGUCUGUAACUGACGCUGAUGUGCGAAAGCGUGGGGAUCAAACAGGAUUAGAUACCCCCGUAGUCCCUGUCUCUUAUAC
This 301-nucleotide ribosomal RNA is filed under the name uncultured bacterium. Its description in RNAcentral is "partial 16S ribosomal RNA". It matches the Rfam family "Bacterial small subunit ribosomal RNA", at positions 509 to 807 of the family's 1533-position model. The record is from RNAcentral.